UAUUGAACAGCAACUCCCUAUUUCUCCCUGCCCCCAGGCAAAAUUACCAUUCUACUCUCUGCUUCUUAUGAGUCUGACUAUUUUAGAUACCUAAUAUAAGUGGAAUCAUGCAGUAUUUAUCCUGCUGUGACUGGCUUAUUUCCCUUAGCAUAAUGUCCUCUAGCUUUACCCCUCUGUAGCUUUUCUUUUUCAGGAAUGUUUUGACUCUUGGUCCUUUUUCAUUCUACCUGAUAAACUUUGAAUCACUUUGUUAAAUUUUCCAAAAACCCGUGGCAAGCUUUGAUUACUCUACAUAGGUCUAUACGUAAUUUUGGGAAUUAUUUAAAUUUAAAAAAAAAGUUUAACCUGUUAAAGUUGCAGCCAAAGGAAAGAGGAAAUAUGUAAAAUCAAUUGCAUUGUUUUUUUUUUAUACAUGAGGAGAAAAUAUUUGUUUUCCCAAGCCCAGUGUGGCCUCGGGACUCUGAUGUGGGUUUGGUUCCUGGAAACCAGAGUUGGGAUCAAGAACAGGGCAGGGCUAGCCUGAGGCUUUGGGAACAUGAGACAAAUACAGAAGCAAUGGCAGUAUUAUGCGGAAAAGUCAGAACUGGGAACCAAUAAAGCAUACCCAGCUUCACAUCCAGCAGGAACUAGGUAGAAAGGCGAAUUCCACAGCAACUGGAACUGGAAAAAUGGAACAGGUUCCUAAGGACAAUUAGAAAGACAUUUGGUAAGAUCGCCUCAGAUGGGCAUGCAGAGUGCCAAGCCUUUAUGAAAUUUUGCCUGUACUUGGGGAAGAAGUUGUUAUAGGGACUAAGUUUGUUGAGAUGCUCAGGAAGACUUUCUCAAAUAAGACUUUUUAUAGAUUGUACAGACAUAUGAUGGAAAUGUUUCUUAUCCUCACAGCAAAUGCAAUAAAUGAGUAAUGGGUUUUUGAUAGGUCAUUAUGGGGAAGGGGCAUGGAGAUGUGCUUUUCAGGUGUCCUGUUAGAAGAGCCUGUUGUGGAGAGUGUAGCUGACCAAUAGUCUCCAGCCUCUCCCACCAAUGACUGGUGGCACAGUGGGGAUACUCAAAUCAGGCCAUUCCUGCCUGAUGGGGAUUCCUUUAAUGGGCUGCUCUGGCUCAGGAACUCCCAUCAGCCUGGCCAAAACUUGCUCAGAACUGCAAUAUUUGAGACUCUUCCUACCCAAUCUUCUUUCCUUCUCUCUCUCCUUUCACAUGUGUCAAGCUGAUAUUGUGGUCUGAAAAUGAUUCCUACUUCAGCUCCCUACCACUUUAUCCUUCACAGGCAUUUUCCCAAUAAGUCUCCUGUAUAUCUAAUCCCACCUUGGCUUCUGUUUAGAGGAGUCCAUUUGACACAAUUGUCUAAGUGGUUUAGUAUCUCCUCUGUACUCUACUCCCACCCACACACAUCUGCAUACCUGUACAUUUAUCAAGCACUUAGGUACCUUAUGCACUUAAGGUAUUAUGCUGAUUAACACAUAUUUAUUAUUGUAUUUACUCCUUGUAAAGAAGUGCACAGUUUAAAAUGGUUAAAAUGGGCCAAGAGCAAUGGCUCACACCUAUAAUCCCAGCACCUUGGGAGACUGAGGCAGAAGGAUUACUCGAGCCCAGGAGUUAGAGACCAACCUGGGCAACAUAGGGAGACCCCCACCCUGUACCUACAAAAAUAAUGUUUUAAAUUAGCCUGGCAUGGCGGCGCAUGCCUAUGGUUCCAACUACUCAGGAGGCAGAGGUAGGAGGAUCGCUUGAAUCCAGAAGGCUUCAGUCAGCCAGGAUCAUGCUACUGCCCUCAGCCUGGACAACAGAGUGAGACCCUAUCUCAAAAAAUAAAAUAAAAUAGAAUAAAGGCUUCAGUGAGCCAGGAUCAUGCUAAUGCCCUCCAGCCUGGACAAUGGAAUGAGACUCUAUCUCAAAAAAUAAAAA
Long non-coding RNA from Macaca fascicularis (crab-eating macaque), 1902 nucleotides. Lineage: Eukaryota; Metazoa; Chordata; Mammalia; Primates; Cercopithecidae. The record is from Ensembl.